AUUGAACGCUGGCGGCAGGCUUAACACAUGCAAGUCGAGCGGGGUGAUGGUGCUUGCACUAUCACUUAGCGGCGGACGGGUGAGUAAUGCUUAGGAAUCUGCCUAUUAGUGGGGGACAACAUCUCGAAAGGGAUGCUAAUACCGCAUACGUCCUACGGGAGAAAGCAGGGGAUCACUUGUGACCUUGCGCUAAUAGAUGAGCCUAAGUCGGAUUAGCUAGUUGGUGGGGUAAAGGCCUUCCAAGGCGACGAUCUGUAGCGGGUCUGAGGGGAUAGUCCCCCACACUGGGACUGAGACACGGCCCAGACUCCUACUGGAGGCAGCAGUGGGGAAUAUUGGACAAUGGGGGGAACCCUGAUCCAGCCAUGCCGCGUGUGUGAAGAAGGCCUUAUGGUUGUAAAGCACUUUAAGCGAGGAGGAGGCUCUUUUGGUUAAUACCCAAGAUGAGUGGACGUUACUCGCAGAAUAAGCACCGGCUAACUCUGUGCCAGCAGCCGCGGUAA
This 503-nucleotide ribosomal RNA is filed under the name uncultured bacterium. Its description in RNAcentral is "partial 16S ribosomal RNA". It matches the Rfam family "Bacterial small subunit ribosomal RNA", at positions 30 to 523 of the family's 1533-position model. The record is from RNAcentral.